AUUGAACGCUGGCGGCAGGCCUAACACAUGCAAGUCGAGCGGAUGAAGGGAGCUUGCUCCUGUAUUCAGCGGCGGACGGGUGAGUAAUGCCUAGGAAUCUGCCUGGUAGUGGGGGAUAACGUCCGGAAACGGGCGCUAAUACAGCAUACGUCAUGAGGGAGAAAGUGGGGGAUCUUCGGACCUCACGCUACCAGAUGAGCCUAGGUCGGAUUAGCUAGUUGGUAGGGUAAAGGCCUACCAAGGCGACGAUCCGUAACUGGUCUGAGAGGAUGAUCAGUCACACUGGAACUGAGACACGGUCCAGACUCCUACGGGAGGCAGCAGUGGGGAAUAUUGGACAAUGGGCGAAAGCCUGAUCCAGCCAUGCCGCGUGUGUGAAGAAGGUCUUCGGAUUGUAAAGCACUUUAAGUUGGGAGGAAGGGCAGUAAGUUAAUACCUUGCUGUUUUGACGUUACCAACAGAAAAAGCACCGGCUAACUUCGUG
This 484-nucleotide ribosomal RNA is filed under the name uncultured bacterium. RNAcentral's name for it is "partial 16S ribosomal RNA". It matches the Rfam family "Bacterial small subunit ribosomal RNA", at positions 30 to 507 of the family's 1533-position model. The record is from RNAcentral.